UGCAUACGUGAGGAAGUAGGCUUCUGGAGAUAUUGACUUAAAUGGUGGACAGCAAAGGCUAAGUUAGGUCUAGUGUGGGUGAGAAAAUUGAGUUUCCCCACUAAGCACCUAUAGGAUUCAGGAGAGGGAAGAGGAUCCCCUAAAUCCAGUUUGAGUUUAACAGAGAGGUCAAGAGGGCAAGUAACAGGAGAAACAUCCUCACAGUGAUAAGCUUUGAGCAGGUCAGUGAUAAACUUUUUCUGGUGGAGAAGGAGCCCAUCAGAGUGAUAACUGACCUCAAUGCCAAGAAAGUAGUUGAGCUAUAGGCUUUGAGCAGGUCAGUGAUAAGCUUUUUCUGGUGGAGAAAGAACCCAUCCAGAGUGAUAACUGACCUCAAUACCAAGUAAGUAGUUGAGCACCCCCAAAUCCUUGAUUUUAAACUCAUGAUCCAGAAAGCUCUCGAAGCACUGAUUUCCUUCAAAUCAUUACCAGUGAGAAUAAUGUCAUCAACAUAGACAGCUAACAAGACAAUAGAAGAGCCAGAUUUUCUAAGAAAAAGAGAAUAGUCAUUGAGAGAAGAAGAAAAUCCUUUAGAACAUAAGUCCUGGGAGAGCUUGGCAUACCACUGCCUAGAAGCUUGCCUUAACCCAUACAAAGAUUUCCGAGUAGACAAACCAAAGGAGAAUAAGAGGUAGAAUAGGUAACAUCCAGUCCAGGAGGCAAUUUCAUAUAAACUUCCUCAGCUAAGUCACCAUGUAAGAAUGCAUUAUUCACAUCAAGUUGAAAGAGGGACCAAUUCUGUUUAACAGCCACAGCAAUGAGGGAUUUGUAGUUGAAAACUUGACAACAGGAGAAAAAGUCUCAGUGAAGUCUACACCCUCAACUAUGGUGUCACCCCAAACAACCAGCCUAGCCUUGUGUCUUUCCACAGACCCAUCAGCCCUAUAUUUGAUCUUAUAGACCCAUUUGCAACCAAUAGGUCUUUUACCAGGGGGAAGGGGAACUAUUGACCAGGUAUGAUUAGCCUCCAAGGCUGCAAAUUCCUUGGUCAUUGCCUCCUGCCAGGCAGGAAUAGAGGCAGCCUGCUGAUAGGAGGUAGGCUCUGCCUCUGUAAUGCUAACUAAACUAUGAAGACAAGUGGAAGAAGAACUGGGGCCAGAUAGAGAUGGAGGAAGAUUGCAGACAUACUGCUGCAGAUGAGCAGGAAGGACAUGUGACCUAUUGGAUCUUCUGGGAGCAGAUGAAGCAGGCACUGAUGAAGUAUGUGAUGGAGAAGAAGGUGAAAAAGAAGGGAGGGGAACUAUUGACCAGGUAUGACUGGCCUCCAAAGUUGCAAAUUCCUUGGUCAUUGCCUCCUGCCAGGCAGGAAUAGAGGCAGCCUGCUGAUAGGAGGUAGGCUCUGCUUCUAGAAUGCUACCAAACUGUGAAGACAAGUGGAAGAAGAAUUGGGGCCAGAAAGAGAUGGAGGAAGAGUGCAGACAUACUGCUGCAGAUGAGCAGGAAGGACAUGUGCCCUAUUGGAUCUUCUGGGAGCUGAUGAAGCAGGCACUGAAGAAGUAUGUGAUGGAGAAGAAAGUGAAGAAGAAGGAGAGUUAAGAGGUGGAUGGUUGGAAAAAGAUGAAGAAUUGUGCAGAAAGUCAUCAACAGGAGGAACCCCAGCAGAAGAAGAGUGAAGAAGAAGGAGAGUCAAGAGGUUGAUGGGUGGAAGAAGAUGAAGAAUUGUGCAGAAGUCAUCAACAGGAGGAACCCAGGCAGAAGAAGGAUUAAGAGUAGGAAAAGAACCAUGGGAAGAAUUUUCUGGAGAGGCAAAAGGAAAAACAUCCUCAUGAAAAAUGACAUCCCUGGAUAUCAGGGUAAGUUGAGACUUCAAGUUAUACAUCUUAUAACCUUUUUUAGCCAGUGGAUAACCCAGAAAAACACAGGGAUCAGCUCUGGGUUGGAAUUUAUCUCUAUUCUGUUUAGGGACUGAGGAAAAACAUAGGCAACCAAAUGUUUUAAGGUGGUUAUAGGAUGGAAUCUGGCCAAACAGCAAUUCAAAAGGGGAUUUCAAAACAUAGGCAACCAAAUGUUCUAAGGUGGUUAUAGGAUGGAAUCUGUCCAAACAGCAAUUCAAAAGGGGAUUUAUUGUUAAGGAGUUUGGAAGGAAACCUGUUAAUGAGGUAGGUUGCAGUAAGCACACAAUCACCCCAAAAUCUAAUGGGUAGCUGGGAAUGAAAAAGUAGAGCUCUUGAGGUUUCUAGCAGAUAUCUAUGCUUUCUCUCAACUACACCAUUUUUUUGUGGUGUGUGAGAGCAGGAAGUUUGAUGCAUUAUGCCAUUUUCAGCAAAGAAGUUGCUGCCACAGCUACUAGAGCCAAGUUCAAAUGCAUUAUCACUCCUAAUGGUUUUUACCACAUACUGGAAUUGGUCUUAACCAUGGCAAUGAAGGCUUUAAUAAGGGGAAAGGCAUUACUUUUGGACCCCAU
Molecule: long non-coding RNA, 2443 nt
Filed under: Nicotiana benthamiana
Lineage: Eukaryota; Viridiplantae; Streptophyta; Magnoliopsida; Solanales; Solanaceae
Description: long non-coding RNA (NBEN_LNC016337)
Source: RNAcentral